RNAcentral lists this ribosomal RNA (582 nucleotides) under uncultured bacterium. RNAcentral describes it as "bacterial SSU rRNA". It matches the Rfam family "Bacterial small subunit ribosomal RNA", at positions 338 to 916 of the family's 1533-position model. The record is from RNAcentral.
CCUACGGGAGGCAGCAGUGGGGAAUAUUGGACAAUGGGCGAAAGCCUGAUCCAGCAAUUCCGCGUGUGUGAAGAAGGCCUUCGGGUUGUAAAGCACUUUAGUGGGGGAAGAAACAGCUUGGCCACACCAAGCCUUGACGGUACCCCAAGAAUAAGCACCGGCUAACUCUGUGCCAGCAGCCGCGGUAAUACAGAGGGUGCAAGCGUUAAUCGGAUUUACUGGGCGUAAAGGGUGCGUAGGUGGCUAUUUAAGUCGGAUGUGAAAGCCCGGGGCUCAACCUCGGAAUUGCAUUCGAUACUGAGUGGCUAGAGUUCGGUAGAGGGCGGCGGAAUUUCCGGUGUAGCGGUGAAAUGCGUAGAUAUCGGAAGGAACAUCAAUGGCGAAGGCAGCCGCCUGGGCCUGGACUGACACUGAGGCACGAAAGCGUGGGUAGCAAACAGGAUUAGAUACCCUGGUAGUCCACGCCGUAAACGAUGAGAACUUGACGUUGGUUCGUUUUACGAAUCGGUGCCGCAGCUAACGCGAUAAGUUCUCCGCCUGGGGAGUACGGCCGCAAGGUUGAAAACUCAAAUGAAUUGACGG